Molecule: long non-coding RNA, 3529 nt
Organism: Peromyscus californicus insignis
Lineage: Eukaryota; Metazoa; Chordata; Mammalia; Rodentia; Cricetidae
Exons: 3
Source: RefSeq, a predicted model, not a curated record
UAGAACCUUCAUCCAAUAACUGAUGGAAGCAGAUGCAGAGAUACACAGCCAUGCACCAGACUGAGCUCCACGAGUCCAGGCAAAGAGAGGCCUAACCUCCACCCCAUUCUGAUGCCUCAUUCCCUCCUCCAGAAGGCUGGAGAAAUGGCUUAGCAGGAAAAGGUGCUUGCUACCAAGCCUGAGGAGACCUGAGUUUCAUGCCUGGAUCUCACACAGUGGAAGUAGAGAAUCGAAUCCCACAAGUUGUCUUUUGGCCUCUAUAUAUGCACAGUGGUGUGACCCCGCACACAUAAACAUAGACACACAACCACCAAAAUAAAUGUAAAAUUAAUUUUAAAGGUUUUAUUCUACUGUUUUGAUCUCUGAUUUAAAAAUGAACUCAGUUCUGAGGAUGUUUGUCCUUAAAAUUAUUUGCCCAUGAAAAGAUUUUAAUUCAGCAAUAACGUCUUCCUUUCAAGUUCUAGAUCCUACUGCUGUACACUUUGGCCACACAACACAAAUAUUCAAGUUGGAAAAGUACUGGAAGCCUCCUCAGUAAUGGCUAACCUAUAGUACCAGAGAUUCUGUGUAGGGUGCUGGGUAGAAAUGUCAGCAACAAUUUUACCCAGUGCAAAUCGUUUGAGCUAUAAUAAUGACCUACCAGGGAAGAGGUGCCCACUAGUGCAACAUGAAAGUAUCAACAGCUUUUUAAUUAGAAUUGUGUCCCACCACAUAGUCAGGAGCCCGUGGCUGGGGAACUCAUAAUCAAUCACAGAACACAGAAUGCCUAUGUUUCCCUCUGCUAGGUCUCAGUUAGGAACCAUUACUUCUGCAAUCACUCCCAAAACUCUGUAACUAAAUCUCCAAGUAGGUGAGCUGCAAGUUAUGGAGUCCUAACCACAUCAUCCUAUAAUUUGAAUUCCCAUCUACUCUGAUUUGUUGACAGAUGACUUCCAGUACUUUCACUCUUUCCUAGAAUGUAGAAGCUCUCUUUUAAUCCUUCUAUUUAAAUAAUGUAUUGCAAAACUGCACAUUUCUGAUUUGGAGUGUUAUCAUGUGUUUUCAAAUUUACCAAUAAAAAAAAUAACAUCUUUUAGUUUUGCCUAGACUGCUGAAAUGAGAUGUCAUUUUUCCAACUCAUUUCAACAUCUUUUGAGAAUGGAAUUCCUUCAGUUGGAUUGUUUACAAGACACUUACAAUGAAGAGUGUUUUUCUUUUUUUUCUGGCAUACCAAAUUAAGAGUAUAGAUAUUGAUUUUCAGUUGGGAUCAUUCUGGAGAGGUUUUGUAAAGCUGUUGUUCCGGUUCUUGAGGAAGGUAUUUGACAUGUUAUAUUGCCAUUUAAUUUUGCUAGACUGCAUAACCACACAAAACCACAGCAAUAAAUAUUGAAAAUGUGUUAAAUUUUCUAUAUAGAAUUAUAAAGAUAGAACUCUUUUGUGAGCCCAGUAAUAUGUCUCGUGUCAUGAAUAUAAGACCACUACAAAAUCAGAUUGCUUCACUCAUUUUUAAUGCAUUGAUUUGAGCUAUGAAAGGUGAUUGUCCAAUAGUCUUACUUUUUAAAUUUAGAAUUAUAUCUAUCACAAAGCAUUAAAUAUAAGUUAGCAAAAGGUUCUACAAAAACACGUUGCUUGCACUUUUUGGUUCAGCUUGAAAAAUCAGAAUUCUACAAUUCACAAACCCAAAUAAGAACAUAGAAUAAGUGGGAUAACUAAAAAGUUUAACAAGAUGGCAGGUUUAACCCAAAUACAUCAACUCUUGCAUUGCAUAUAGAUAUAAAUAGUGCAAUUGAAAGCAAAACGUGGCUGCAUUGAGUAACAAAACAAAGUCCAAGUAUAUGUCACUAACAAGAGAUCUACUUUAAAUAUAAAGACAGAGCACUUUAAAGUAGAGCAUCUCCCAUAUUAUCCUUGUAUUAGCAUUAGGUAGUACUUUAGCUGUAAGAAAUAGAGAUAGAGAAUGUUUCAUACUGAUAAAGAUAUACACUCACCAGAGAAUAUAAUUAUAAAUUUGAGCAUAUUCACCUUUAAAUUGUUAAAAAAAAUUUGUAUUUAGGGUUUUUAAGCUAACAUGUGUUAGUUGGACUUGUUCUUGUACAAAUUUCCUGGCAGAACAAGUGAGAAUGGCGAAAGAUAUACUUCAGUUCACAGUUUCAGGGGUUUCAAUCCAUCAUGGCUGGAAGGGAACGGCAGAGCCUGUCAGCUGAUGAGGUCAGGAAGCAAAAGGAGAGAAUGUCCAUUUGAGUAGAUGGUCUCCUUUUCCCUUUUUAUUUAAUUUGGGCCCCAGUGUAUUGGAUGGCACUACCCAUAUUUAGUGUGGUAAUUUUUGAGUGACAUUUCCUUAGUGGACAUGUAGAACAAAUGUCUACUCCCUCCAGAUAGGGAACCAGUGGCAGACCAAAGUAAUGAUCCCACAAUACUGCAGUUUGGAGAACCGAUCACUUUUUUAGGGUUACUUACACAGGUGUUAUUGACAGGCAUUUAUAAGACUGUAGCAUAUGCAAAGGGUUGCAACAACACCAUAAAGUUCAACUCAGCCUGGAUGGUUAAUCCAGAGCUCCAUGCAAGACUCUCAGGAGGCUGUCUGGUGGGAGAUUUUCCUCUACUCAGUAGCUGUUUGCUGAUUGUGAAACCUGAGAAUAGCUCUUGUGAAUCUUUCAAGUUACCUAUGCAGAGACUUGUGGAUUUCAUUUAUUGCCUGAGCUUAAUGAACUGCCUCUGUCCCUUCAAUAAGUAAUGUUUCAAUUUGGAAGAAACUGCUACAUAGUUCAGUCUCCACUGUCUCUGAGAGUAUGCUCACCCACGUAUUGAGAUGUAUACUUAAUAUCUCCAGGUGACAAUCAAGAAGAAUAACCACAGAAGGACAUGACAGUAUUAGACUUUUUACUUAAUUAAAAAAUAAUUGCAUCAUUACCUCCGUUCUUCUCCACUUCUUCAAUGCCCACCAGUUCCCCUUUGUACUAAGGACCUCCCAUAAGAUGUCACCUUUAAAAUGUCUGUGCAGUUUCUACAAUGCCAAAUGGAGAACAGACUUCCUAGCACAUGAACCUCUGGGUAUGACAGCCAUAAUCACGUCACAGCAUGGACAAAAUUAAGACCCUUAAUCAUAGCGAUGGGAGGUCUUAAUACACCUCGGUCAGUAUCUAAUGAACAAAUAGAUCAAAGCUGUUGUGAACAUAUAGAAAAUAAUCAACAGCCCCGGUAACAAACUGGAGGUUACUGACACAGAGGGAUGCUGGAUCUCAUAACUGCAUGGCACAUAAUGUUCUCAACUAACAUGAAACACGACCAAGCCGAUCGCAAGCUAGGAUACAAAGCAAACCAAACCAGCAUCAAGAGCUUGAGAUCAUACUAACCCUGUUCUUUUACCACUAUGAAAUCAAGCUUGAAGUCAAUAGUAAAUAAAUUAGAACAAAAUUUCUUGGAGAAAUUUUCUCAGGAGAAAAUUUGGAGCAAGAAGCCAGGCGUAAGAGAGGUGUGAUCCAAGUUUCAGGAGGCUUAAAACUGAAGAAAUUUAUGUCCUAAUAAAACUAGGUAUCAUAUAUAUAUAAAU